Molecule: long non-coding RNA, 580 nt
Filed under: Rattus norvegicus (Norway rat)
Lineage: Eukaryota; Metazoa; Chordata; Mammalia; Rodentia; Muridae
Description: long non-coding RNA NONRATT032265
Source: RNAcentral
CAGGAAGCAGAGAGAAGUAAACGCUGCUGCUCUCUUUCCCCUUUCUAUUCAGACCAGGUCCCUCAGACCAUGGGGUGCUGCCAACCACAUUCAGGUCUCGCCUCUCUCACAACACUCCUAUAGACACACCCAGAUGAGUCUCCUAGGUGACUCGAAAUCCAGUCUGACAGUAAGGAUAAACCAUCGUGGUCGUGUGAUCUGGACACCUUCUAAGGGUCGAAGCUCUUGAGACUGUGGCUGGUGCUCUGGGAGCAGCCCCAAGUGCAGAGAGUCGAGUGUGAUCUGCCCCGGGAGCUACGGCGGCCCACACUGCUAAGCACUGGCAAGCAAGAGUGUUUUCCCACACAGUCCAGAAAGGACUGAGCAGAUUCCUCAGCUGCAGACGUGUGGAAGAAUUCAGUAACAGAGAGGAACUCUCCACCCUCGUUUCUGGGACCUUUGGUAGAGUGGUUUGACUGGCAAGAAACAGGCAUCCUGACUCAUCUCCACCAGGCCAACAAGCUCUGGAAGAGUGUCGUAGACUCACAGCCACUCGCUUGCUAGCUCUCUCUGGCAUCCCAGCAUCUGUGAUUAAACCCUG